This 407-nucleotide ribosomal RNA is filed under the name uncultured microorganism. Its description in RNAcentral is "bacterial SSU rRNA". It matches the Rfam family "Bacterial small subunit ribosomal RNA", at positions 9 to 412 of the family's 1533-position model. The record is from RNAcentral.
GAGUUUGAUCAUGGCUCAGAUUGAACGCUGGCGGCAUGCCUUACACAUGCAAGUCGAACGGCAGCAUGAUCUAGCUUGCUAGAUUGAUGGCGAGUGGCGAACGGGUGAGUAAUACAUCGGAACGUGCCCUGUAGUGGGGGAUAACUAGUCGAAAGAUUAGCUAAUACCGCAUACGACCUGAGGGUGAAAGUGGGGGACCGCAAGGCCUCAUGCUAUAGGAGCGGCCGAUGUCUGAUUAGCUAGUUGGUGGGGUAAAGGCCCACCAAGGCGACGAUCAGUAGCUGGUCUGAGAGGACGAUCAGCCACACUGGGACUGAGACACGGCCCAGACUCCUACGGGAGGCAGCAGUGGGGAAUUUUGGACAAUGGGCGAAAGCCUGAUCCAGCAAUGCCGCGUGUGUGAAGAA